UACGUAGGUGGCAAGCGUUGUCCGGAUUUAUUGGGCGUAAAGCGCGCGCAGGUGGUUUCUUGAGUCUGAUGUGAAAGCCCCCGGCUCAACUGGGGAGGUUCAUUGGAAACUGGGAGACUUGAGUGCAGAAGAGGAUAGUGGAAUUCCAAGUGUAGCGGUGAAAUGCGUAGAGAUAUGGAGGAACACCAGUGGCGAAGGCGGCUGUCUGGUCUGUAACCGACACUGAGGCGCGAAAGCGUGGGGAGCAAACAGG
RNAcentral lists this ribosomal RNA (253 nucleotides) under uncultured Caryophanaceae bacterium. RNAcentral describes it as "uncultured Planococcaceae bacterium partial 16S ribosomal RNA". It matches the Rfam family "Bacterial small subunit ribosomal RNA", at positions 524 to 776 of the family's 1533-position model. Lineage: Bacteria; Bacillati; Bacillota; Bacilli; Caryophanales; Caryophanaceae. The record is from RNAcentral.